This 479-nucleotide ribosomal RNA is filed under the name uncultured anaerobic ammonium-oxidizing bacterium. RNAcentral describes it as "bacterial SSU rRNA". It matches the Rfam family "Bacterial small subunit ribosomal RNA", at positions 364 to 833 of the family's 1533-position model. The record is from RNAcentral.
UUUCGCAAUGCCCGAAAGGGUGACGAAGCGACGCCGCGUGAGUGAGGAAGGCCUUCGGGUUGUAAAGCUCUGUCAGGAGUUAAGAAAUAUAAGUGUGUUAAUACCACAUUUAUUUGACGAAGGCUCCAAAGGAAGCCACGGCUAACUCUGUGCCAGCAGCCGCGGUAAUGCAGAGGUGGCAAGCGUUGUUCGGAAUUAUUGGGCGUAAAGAGCACGUAGGUGGGUCUGUAAGUCAGAUGUGAAAGCCUUCUGUUCAACGGAAGAAUUGCAUCUGAAACUGCGAGUCUUGAGUGUAGGAGGGGAGAAUGGAACUUCUGGUGGAGCGGUGAAAUGCGUAGAUAUCAGAAGGAACGCCGGCGGCGAAAGCGAUUCUCUGGCCUAUUACUGACACUCAGUGUGCGAAAGCUAGGGGAGCAAACGGGAUUAGAUACCCCGGUAGUCCUAGCUGUAAACGAUGGGCACUAAGUAGAGGGGUUUUA